Non-coding RNA from Pelobates cultripes (western spadefoot toad), 428 nucleotides. The record is from the annotation of a GenBank genome assembly. Lineage: Eukaryota; Metazoa; Chordata; Amphibia; Anura; Pelobatidae.
UACAUACCAUUGUGAACAAAGGUGGUAAAUACUUUGCUGCUUCAAAUUAUCCAUUUAUCUCUAAAUCAUAUACAAGGGUGUUUAUCUUUAAAACAAAACACUAGAGAGAUUAACUAUGUUACUAUUUCAUCUAUCAUUAUUAUACAAAGUAUAACAAAUGUAAAGAUUUUUCCACAAAUUUUACCUGUUAACAUUUUUAGCACAACAGCACCUGAUGUCAUUGAGAUGUCUAUCACUGAGAUGUUACAAAGAUUCCAUUACCGCAAAAGGAGGCGUUCUUGAGAAUCCACUUCGAUUGCUGUAUCAACAUAACAUUUACUAUAAUGGGAACCAUGUCACUUAAGACAAUGUCUUGGAAAUGCUGUCAAUUAAUUGAUUCCGUAAAAGAAUAUCGGAGAGUAUCCAAUCUAUACACAUCAUAAACGGUG